AACGAACGCUGGCGGCAUGCCUAACACAUGCAAGUCGAACGAGACCUUCGGGUCUAGUGGCGCACGGGUGCGUAACGCGUGGGAACCUGCCUUUAGGUUCGGGAUAACUCAGAGAAAUUUGAGCUAAUACCGGAUGAUGUCUUCGGACCAAAGAUUUAUCGCCUUUAGAUGGGCCCGCGUUGGAUUAGCUAGUUGGUGGGGUAAAGGCCUACCAAGGCGACGAUCCAUAGCUGGUCUGAGAGGAUGAUCAGCCACACUGGGACUGAGACACGGCCCAGACUCCUACGGGAGGCAGCAGUGGGGAAUAUUGGACAAUGGGCGAAAGCCUGAUCCAGCAAUGCCGCGUCAGUGAUGAAGGCCUUAGGGUUGUAAAGCUCUUUUACCCGAGAUGAUAAUGACAGUAUCGGGAGAAUAAGCUCCGGCUAACUCCGUG
RNAcentral lists this ribosomal RNA (433 nucleotides) under uncultured bacterium. RNAcentral's name for it is "partial 16S ribosomal RNA". It matches the Rfam family "Bacterial small subunit ribosomal RNA", at positions 29 to 507 of the family's 1533-position model. The record is from RNAcentral.